This 440-nucleotide ribosomal RNA is filed under the name uncultured bacterium. Its description in RNAcentral is "partial 16S ribosomal RNA". It matches the Rfam family "Bacterial small subunit ribosomal RNA", at positions 338 to 795 of the family's 1533-position model. The record is from RNAcentral.
CCUACGGGAAGCAGCAGUGGGGGAUAUUGCACAAUGGGGGAAACCCUGCUGCAGCGACGCCGCGUGUGGGAAGACGGUCCUCUGGAUUGUAAACCACUGUCCCCAGGGACGAAGAUGACGGUACCUGGGGAGGAAGCUCCGGCUAACUACGUGCCAGCAGCCGCGGUAAUACGUAGGGAGCGAGCGUGGUCCGGAAUGACUGGGUGUAAAGGGAGCGUAGGCGGGACUGCAAGUUGGGUGUCAAAUCUACCGGCUCAACCGGUAGCCGCACUCAAAACUGCAGUUCUUGAGUGAAGUAGAGGCAGGCGGAAUUCCUAGUGUAGCGGUGAAAUGCGUAGAUAUUAGGAAGAACACCAGUGGCGAAGGCGGUCUGCUGGGCUUUUACUGACGCUGAGGCUCGAAAGUGUGGGGAGCAAACAGGAUUAGAUACCCCGGUAGUC